Molecule: ribosomal RNA, 521 nt
Filed under: uncultured bacterium
Lineage: Bacteria
Description: partial 16S ribosomal RNA
Rfam family: Bacterial small subunit ribosomal RNA
Source: RNAcentral
AAUGAACGCUGGCGGCGUGCUUAACACAUGCAAGUCGUACGAGAAACCCCGGCUUGCCGGGGGAGUAAAGUGGCGCACGGGUGAGUAACGCGUGGGUAAUCUACCCUCGAAUUGGGGAUAACACACCGAAAGGUGUGCUAAUACCGAAUAAGACCACGACCUCCACGGGGGUUGCGGUCAAAGAUGGCCUCUGCUUGCAAGCUGUCGUUUGAGGAUGAGCCCGCGUACCAUUAGCUUGUUGGUGGGGUAAUGGCCUACCAAGGCAACGAUGGUGAGCUGGUGUGAGAGGAUGGCCAGCCACACUGGAACUGGAACACGGUCCAGACUCCUACGGGAGGCAGCAGUGGGGAAUUUUGCGCAAUGGGGGAAACCCUGACGCAGCAACGCCGCGUGAGUGAAGAAGGCCUUCGGGUUGUAAAGCUCUGUCAAGUGGGAAGAACCUUUUUCGGCCGAAUACGCCGAGAAACUGACGGUACCGCUGAAGGAAGCACCGGCUAACUCCGUGCCAGCCGCCGCCGUAA